Non-coding RNA from Abortiporus biennis, 96 nucleotides. The record is from the annotation of a GenBank genome assembly. NCBI's taxonomy places the organism in Eukaryota, Fungi, Basidiomycota, Agaricomycetes, Polyporales, Podoscyphaceae.
UCCCUGGUAGUAUAUCGGCUAGUACACGCGCCUGUCAUUUCAACUCACAUUGGCUGUUGGUCGCGCGAAAGCGGGGUUCGACUCCCCGCCAGGGAG